RNAcentral lists this ribosomal RNA (2136 nucleotides) under Staphylococcus aureus 44(2608). RNAcentral describes it as "bacterial LSU rRNA". It matches the Rfam family "Bacterial large subunit ribosomal RNA", at positions 3 to 2137 of the family's 2925-position model. Lineage: Bacteria; Bacillati; Bacillota; Bacilli; Caryophanales; Staphylococcaceae. The record is from RNAcentral.
UUAAGUUAUUAAGGGCGCACGGUGGAUGCCUUGGCACUAGAAGCCGAUGAAGGACGUUACUAACGACGAUAUGCUUUGGGGAGCUGUAAGUAAGCUUUGAUCCAGAGAUUUCCGAAUGGGGAAACCCAGCAUGAGUUAUGUCAUGUUAUCGAUAUGUGAAUACAUAGCAUAUCAGAAGGCACACCCGGAGAACUGAAACAUCUUAGUACCCGGAGGAAGAGAAAGAAAAUUCGAUUCCCUUAGUAGCGGCGAGCGAAACGGGAAGAGCCCAAACCAACAAGCUUGCUUGUUGGGGUUGUAGGACACUCUAUACGGAGUUACAAAGGACGACAUUAGACGAAUCAUCUGGAAAGAUGAAUCAAAGAAGGUAAUAAUCCUGUAGUCGAAAAUGUUGUCUCUCUUGAGUGGAUCCUGAGUACGACGGAGCACGUGAAAUUCCGUUGGAAUCUGGGAGGACCAUCUCCUAAGGCUAAAUACUCUCUAGUGACCGAUAGUGAACCAGUACCGUGAGGGAAAGGUGAAAAGCACCCCGGAAGGGGAGUGAAAUAGAACCUGAAACCGUGUGCUUACAAGUAGUCAGAGCCCGUUAAUGGGUGAUGGCGUGCCUUUUGUAGAAUGAACCGGCGAGUUACGAUUUGAUGCAAGGUUAAGCAGUAAAUGUGGAGCCGUAGCGAAAGCGAGUCUGAAUAGGGCGUUUAGUAUUUGGUCGUAGACCCGAAACCAGGUGAUCUACCCUUGGUCAGGUUGAAGUUCAGGUAACACUGAAUGGAGGACCGAACCGACUUACGUUGAAAAGUGAGCGGAUGAACUGAGGGUAGCGGAGAAAUUCCAAUCGAACCUGGAGAUAGCUGGUUCUCUCCGAAAUAGCUUUAGGGCUAGCCUCAAGUGAUGAUUAUUGGAGGUAGAGCACUGUUUGGACGAGGGGCCCCUCUCGGGUUACCGAAUUCAGACAAACUCCGAAUGCCAAUUAAUUUAACUUGGGAGUCAGAACAUGGGUGAUAAGGUCCGUGUUCGAAAGGGAAACAGCCCAGACCACCAGCUAAGGUCCCAAAAUAUAUGUUAAGUGGAAAAGGAUGUGGCGUUGCCCAGACAACUAGGAUGUUGGCUUAGAAGCAGCCAUCAUUUAAAGAGUGCGUAAUAGCUCACUAGUCGAGUGACACUGCGCCGAAAAUGUACCGGGGCUAAACAUAUUACCGAAGCUGUGGAUUGUCCUUUGGACAAUGGUAGGAGAGCGUUCUAAGGGCGUUGAAGCAUGAUCGUAAGGACAUGUGGAGCGCUUAGAAGUGAGAAUGCCGGUGUGAGUAGCGAAAGACGGGUGAGAAUCCCGUCCACCGAUUGACUAAGGUUUCCAGAGGAAGGCUCGUCCGCUCUGGGUUAGUCGGGUCCUAAGCUGAGGCCGACAGGCGUAGGCGAUGGAUAACAGGUUGAUAUUCCUGUACCACCUAUAAUCGUUUUAAUCGAUGGGGGGACGCAGUAGGAUAGGCGAAGCGUGCGAUUGGAUUGCACGUCUAAGCAGUAAGGCUGAGUAUUAGGCAAAUCCGGUACUCAUUAAGGCUGAGCUGUGAUGGGGAGAAGACAUUGUGUCUUCGAGUCGUUGAUUUCACACUGCCGAGAAAAGCCUCUAGAUAGAAAAUAGGUGCCCGUACCGCAAACCGACACAGGUAGUCAAGAUGAGAAUUCUAAGGUGAGCGAGCGAACUCUCGUUAAGGAACUCGGCAAAAUGACCCCGUAACUUCGGGAGAAGGGGUGCUCUUUAGGGUUAACGCCCAGAAGAGCCGCAGUGAAUAGGCCCAAGCGACUGUUUAUCAAAAACACAGGUCUCUGCUAAACCGUAAGGUGAUGUAUAGGGGCUGACGCCUGCCCGGUGCUGGAAGGUUAAGAGGAGUGGUUAGCUUCUGCGAAGCUACGAAUCGAAGCCCCAGUAAACGGCGGCCGUAACUAUAACGGUCCUAAGGUAGCGAAAUUCCUUGUCGGGUAAGUUCCGACCCGCACGAAAGGCGUAACGAUUUGGGCACUGUCUCAACGAGAGACUCGGUGAAAUCAUAGUACCUGUGAAGAUGCAGGUUACCCGCGACAGGACGGAAAGACCCCGUGGAGCUUUACUGUAGCCUGAUAUUGAAAUUCGGCACAGCUUGU